GGUGGGUUGGCAGAGUGGUUGAAUGCACCGGUCUUGAAAACCGGAAUGCCUGUAAAGGCAUCGCAGGUUCGAAUCCUGCACCCACCG
Molecule: transfer RNA, 87 nt
Filed under: Candidatus Uhrbacteria bacterium RIFCSPHIGHO2_02_FULL_47_29
Lineage: Bacteria; Candidatus Uhriibacteriota
Also listed under: 4 other names
Description: tRNA-Ser
Rfam family: tRNA
About the family: Transfer RNA (tRNA) molecules are approximately 80 nucleotides in length. Their secondary structure includes four short double-helical elements and three loops (D, anti-codon, and T loops).
Source: RNAcentral